UGAGGAAUAUUGGUCAAUGGGCGAGAGCCUGAACCAGCCAAGUAGCGUGCAGGAUGACGGCCCUAUGGGUUGUAAACUGCUUUUAUGUGGGGAUAAAGUGCGUAACGUGUCAUGCAUUGCAGGUACCACAUGAAUAAGGACCGGCUAAUUCCGUGCCAGCAGCCGCGGUAAUACGGAAGGUCCGGGCGUUAUCCGGAUUUAUUGGGUUUAAAGGGAGCGUAGGCUGUCUAUUAAGCGUGUUGUGAAAUAUACCGGCUCAACCGGUGGCUUGCAGCGCGAACUGGUCGACUUGAGUAUGCAGGAAGUAGGCGGAAUUCAUGGUGUAGCGGUGAAAUGCUUAGAUAUCAUGACGAACUCCGAUUGCGCAGGCAGCUUACUGUAGCAUAACUGACGCUGAUGCUCGAAAGUGCGGGUAUCAAACAGG
Molecule: ribosomal RNA, 424 nt
Filed under: Fusobacteriota bacterium
Lineage: Bacteria; Fusobacteriati; Fusobacteriota
Description: Fusobacteria bacterium partial 16S ribosomal RNA
Rfam family: Bacterial small subunit ribosomal RNA
Source: RNAcentral